CCAAAACUGCCUCACCUCUGCGCAGCCGCUGCAAAGUUGAAGACUCAAGAAUAAUGGGAAAGGAAGAAAUGAUGGAUCUUCGAAACCAGCUGCAAAUCGAAGUUGAAAGUAUUGCUCGCUGGAAAGCUUCUACAGAGGU
Molecule: long non-coding RNA, 139 nt
Organism: Scylla paramamosain (green mud crab)
Lineage: Eukaryota; Metazoa; Arthropoda; Malacostraca; Decapoda; Portunidae
Exons: 2
Source: RefSeq, a predicted model, not a curated record